GGGCAGCGACGGCAUUUCCCCCACACCUCUUCAUUUGUGGGAAUGACUUUUUGCUCGUCCAUGGUUGGCUUUCCUGUGUUGCAUACCCCUAUUGCGAGGGCAUUCGGUYGKCUAAAAUGGUCCCAUCUCCGCCYUGUGUCGGCGCUCCUUGCGGGCGUGUGGCAYGGGGUGGAUCUCAAGGCAUGCAUUGUGUUUCGCGCCGCAUUCACCUUUAUGGGUGUUUGGGUAGGCGACCCACGACGCAUUGCCCGUUGUCUCGGGUACGGAAUAUCGGGUGGGUACGAGGCAUUGGCCUCCGAUCACCACAUCAACGCGUUCAACGCUUUAUGCGAACGACGGCCGCACUUGGCCUUUGGCGGAGCACUCGCUGCUCGGUCGAAGCCUCGUCGGCGUCGGUGAGGGAUGCUACCUGGUUGAUCCUGCCAGUAGUCAUAUGCUUGUCUCAAAGAUUAAGCCAUGCAUGUGUAA
RNAcentral lists this unclassified non-coding RNA (468 nucleotides) under Eplingiella cuniloides. RNAcentral describes it as "partial contains external transcribed spacer and 18S ribosomal RNA". The stretch from base 407 to 468 matches the Rfam family "Eukaryotic small subunit ribosomal RNA", at positions 1 to 62 of the family's 1831-position model. Lineage: Eukaryota; Viridiplantae; Streptophyta; Magnoliopsida; Lamiales; Lamiaceae. The record is from RNAcentral.